GGUUUGGCCGAUUGGUCCGUUCUUGUAACGAGUACUGGUCGGUUGGGCCUCACCGCUUGGGGAAGGGUAAUGCCCUUUAUUGGGUGUUGCUCGGAGCCAAGACCUUUACCUUGAAAAAAUUAGAGUGUUUAAAGCAGGCAUAUGCCAGAAUACAUUAGCAUGGAAUAAUAGAAUAGGACAACGAUUCUAUUUUGUUGGUUUCUAGGACCGUUGUAAUGAUUAAUAGGGAUAGUUGGG
This 237-nucleotide ribosomal RNA is filed under the name Archaeospora sp. RNAcentral describes it as "partial small subunit ribosomal RNA". The stretch from base 87 to 237 matches the Rfam family "Eukaryotic small subunit ribosomal RNA", at positions 733 to 886 of the family's 1831-position model. The record is from RNAcentral. Lineage: Eukaryota; Fungi; Glomeromycota; Glomeromycetes; Archaeosporales; Archaeosporaceae.